GGUUAAGCGACUAAGCGUACACGGUGGAUGCCCUGGCAGUCAGAGGCGAUGAAGGACGUGCUAAUCUGCGAUAAGCGCCGGUAAGGUGAUAUGAACCGUUAUAACCGGCGAUUUCCGAAUGGGGAAACCCAGUGUGACUCGUCACACUAUCAUUAACUGAAUCCAUAGGUUAAUGAGGCGAACCGGGGGAACUGAAACAUCUAAGUACCCCGAGGAAAAGAAAUCAACCGAGAUUCCCCCAGUAGCGGCGAGCGAACGGGGAGGAGCCCAGAGCCUGAAUCAGCAUGUGUGUUAGUGGAAGCGUCUGGAAAGGCGCGCGAUACAGGGUGACAGCCCCGUACACAAAAGCGCAUGUGCUGUGAGCUCGAUGAGUAGGGCGGGACACGUGGUAUCCUGUCUGAAUAUGGGGGGACCAUCCUCCAAGGCUAAAUACUCCUGACUGACCGAUAGUGAACCAGUACCGUGAGGGAAAGGCGAAAAGAACCCCGGCGAGGGGAGUGAAAAAGAACCUGAAACCGUGUACGUACAAGCAGUGGGAGCACCCUUUGGGGUGUGACUGCGUACCUUUUGUAUAAUGGGUCAGCGACUUAUAUUCUGUAGCAAGGUUAACCGUAUAGGGGAGCCGCAGGGAAACCGAGUCUUAACCGGGCGUUAAGUUGCAGGGUAUAGACCCGAAACCCGGUGAUCUAGCCAUGGGCAGGUUGAAGGUUGGGUAACACUAACUGGAGGACCGAACCGACUAAUGUUGAAAAAUUAGCGGAUGAUCUGUGGCUGGGGGUGAAAGGCCAAUCAAACCGGGAGAUAGCUGGUUCUCCCCGAAAGCUAUUUAGGUAGCGCCUCGUGAACUCAUCUCCGGGGGUAGAGCACUGUUUCGGCUAGGGGGCCAUCCCGGCUUACCAACCCGAUGCAAACUGCGAAUACCGGAGAAUGUUAUCACGGGAGACACACGGCGGGUGCUAACGUCCGUCGUGAAGAGGGAAACAACCCAGACCGCCAGCUAAGGUCCCAAAGUCAUGGUUAAGUGGGAAACGAUGUGGGAAGGCCCAGACAGCCAGGAUGUUGGCUUAGAAGCAGCCAUCAUUUAAAGAAAGCGUAAUAGCUCACUGGUCGAGUCGGCCUGCGCGGAAGAUGUAACGGGGCUAAACCAUGCACCGAAGCUGCGGCAGCGACACUGUGUGUUGUUGGGUAGGGGAGCGUUCUGUAAGCCUGUGAAGGUGGCCUGUGAGGGUUGCUGGAGGUAUCAGAAGUGCGAAUGCUGACAUAAGUAACGAUAAAGCGGGUGAAAAGCCCGCUCGCCGGAAGACCAAGGGUUCCUGUCCAACGUUAAUCGGGGCAGGGUGAGUCGACCCCUAAGGCGAGGCCGAAAGGCGUAGUCGAUGGGAAACGGGUUAAUAUUCCCGUACUUGGUGUUACUGCGAAGGGGGGACGGAGAAGGCUAUGUUGGCCGGGCGACGGUUGUCCCGGUUUAAGCGUGUAGGCUGGUUUUCCAGGCAAAUCCGGAAAAUCAAGGCUGAGGCGUGACGACGAGGCACUACGGUGCUGAAGCAACAAAUGCCCUGCUUCCAGGAAAAGCCUCUAAGCAUCAGGUAACACGAAAUCGUACCCCAAACCGACACAGGUGGUCAGGUAGAGAAUACCAAGGCGCUUGAGAGAACUCGGGUGAAGGAACUAGGCAAAAUGGUGCCGUAACUUCGGGAGAAGGCACGCUGACACGUAGGUGAAGUGAUUUACUCAUGGAGCUGAAGUCAGUCGAAGAUACCAGCUGGCUGCAACUGUUUAUUAAAAACACAGCACUGUGCAAACACGAAAGUGGACGUAUACGGUGUGACGCCUGCCCGGUGCCGGAAGGUUAAUUGAUGGGGUCAGCGCAAGCGAAGCUCCUGAUCGAAGCCCCGGUAAACGGCGGCCGUAACUAUAACGGUCCUAAGGUAGCGAAAUUCCUUGUCGGGUAAGUUCCGACCUGCACGAAUGGCGUAAUGAUGGCCAGGCUGUCUCCACCCGAGACUCAGUGAAAUUGAACUCGCUGUGAAGAUGCAGUGUACCCGCGGCAAGACGGAAAGACCCCGUGAACCUUUACUAUAGCUUGACACUGAACAUUGAGCCUUGAUGUGUAGGAUAGGUGGGAGGCUUUGAAGUGUGGACGCCAGUCUGCAUGGAGCCGACCUUGAAAUACCACCCUUUAAUGUUUGAUGUUCUAACGUGGACCCGUAAUCCGGGUUGCGGACAGUGUCUGGUGGGUAGUUUGACUGGGGCGGUCUCCUCCUAAAGAGUAACGGAGGAGCACGAAGGUUGGCUAAUCCUGGUCGGACAUCAGGAGGUUAGUGCAAUGGCAUAAGCCAGCUUGACUGCGAGCGUGACGGCGCGAGCAGGUGCGAAAGCAGGUCAUAGUGAUCCGGUGGUUCUGAAUGGAAGGGCCAUCGCUCAACGGAUAAAAGGUACUCCGGGGAUAACAGGCUGAUACCGCCCAAGAGUUCAUAUCGACGGCGGUGUUUGGCACCUCGAUGUCGGCUCAUCACAUCCUGGGGCUGAAGUAGGUCCCAAGGGUAUGGCUGUUCGCCAUUUAAAGUGGUACGCGAGCUGGGUUUAGAACGUCGUGAGACAGUUCGGUCCCUAUCUGCCGUGGGCGCUGGAGAACUGAGGGGGGCUGCUCCUAGUACGAGAGGACCGGAGUGGACGCAUCACUGGUGUUCGGGUUGUCAUGCCAAUGGCACUGCCCGGUAGCUAAAUGCGGAAGAGAUAAGUGCUGAAAGCAUCUAAGCACGAAACUUGCCCCGAGAUGAGUUCUCCCUGAGACUUAGAGUCUCCUGAAGGAACGUUGAAGACGACGACGUUGAUAGGCCGGGUGUGUAAGCGCAGCGAUGCGUUGAGCUAACCGGUACUAAUGAACCGUGAGGCUUAACCUU
This 2903-nucleotide ribosomal RNA is filed under the name Salmonella enterica subsp. enterica serovar Senftenberg. RNAcentral's name for it is "23S ribosomal RNA". It matches the Rfam family "Bacterial large subunit ribosomal RNA". Lineage: Bacteria; Pseudomonadati; Pseudomonadota; Gammaproteobacteria; Enterobacterales; Enterobacteriaceae. RNAcentral also lists the same sequence under 1 other name. The record is from RNAcentral.